GACGAACGCUGGCGGCGUGCUUAACACAUGCAAGUCGAACGGUAAGGCCCUUCGGGGUACACGAGUGGCGAACGGGUGAGUAACACGUGGGUGAUCUGCCCUGCACUUCGGGAUAAGCCUGGGAAACUGGGUCUAAUACCGGAUAGGACCACUGCCUGCAUGGGUGGUGGUGGAAAGCUUUUGCGGUGUGGGAUGGGCCCGCGGCCUAUCAGCUUGUUGGUGGGGUGAUGGCCGACCAAGGCGACGACGGGUAGCCGGCCUGAGAGGGUGACCGGCCAGACUGGGACUGAGAUUCGGCCCAGACUCCUACGGGAGGCAGCAGUGGGGAAUAUUGCGCAAUGGGCGCAAGCCUGAUGCGGCGACGCCGCGUGAGGGAUGACGGACUUCGGGUUGUAAACCUCUUUCAGCACCGACGAAGCGCAAGUGACGGUAGGUGCAGAAGAAGGACCGGCCAACUACGUGCAAGCAGCCGCCGUAA
This 478-nucleotide ribosomal RNA is filed under the name uncultured bacterium. RNAcentral's name for it is "partial 16S ribosomal RNA". It matches the Rfam family "Bacterial small subunit ribosomal RNA", at positions 28 to 523 of the family's 1533-position model. The record is from RNAcentral.